AUACGGAGGGGGUUAGCGUUGUUCGGAAUUACUGGGCGUAAAGCGUACGUAGGCGGACUAGUAAGUGAGGGGUGAAAUCCCAGGGCUCAACCCUGGAACUGCCUUUCAUACUGCUAGUCUUGAGGUCGAGAGAGGUGAGUGGAAUUCCGAGUGUAGAGGUGAAAUUCGCAGAUAUUCGGAGGAACACCAGUGGCGAAGGCGGCUCACUGACUCGAUACUGACGCUGAGGUACGAAAGUGUGGGGAGCAAACAGGAUUAGAUACCCUAGUAGUCC
This 274-nucleotide ribosomal RNA is filed under the name uncultured bacterium. RNAcentral describes it as "partial 16S ribosomal RNA". It matches the Rfam family "Bacterial small subunit ribosomal RNA", at positions 523 to 796 of the family's 1533-position model. The record is from RNAcentral.